UGGGGAAUAUUGCGCAAUGGGCGAAAGCCUGACGCAGCGAUGCCGCGUGAAGGAUGAAGGUCUUAGGAUUGUAAACUUCUGUUAAAUGGGAGAAAAGACUACUUGUGAAUAGCAAGUGGGGAUGAUAGUACCAUUAGAGAAAGCCCCGGCUAACUUCGUGCCAGCAGCCGCGGUAAUACGAAGGGGGCAAGCGUUAUUCGGAAUUAUUGGGCGUAAAGAGCGUGUAGGUGGCACUACAAGUCAAAUGUGAAAGAUCACGGCCUAACUGUGAGGGUGCAUUUGAAACUGUAGGGCUAGAGUUUGGGAGAGAGGAGUGGAAUUCUCGGAGUAGCGGUUAAAUGCGUGGAUCUCGAGAGGAACACCAAUGGCGAAGGCAGCUCCUUGGACCAUGACUGACACU
RNAcentral lists this ribosomal RNA (400 nucleotides) under uncultured bacterium. Its description in RNAcentral is "bacterial SSU rRNA". It matches the Rfam family "Bacterial small subunit ribosomal RNA", at positions 355 to 747 of the family's 1533-position model. The record is from RNAcentral.